UGAGUGUCUUCUUCCAGCCUUCCUCAUCUUCUUCUUCUCCUCCUUCUCUCCCUCCUCUCCUCCUCCCCAACUCUUAAGACUAUGGUUGAGUGUCUUCUUCCUGCCUUCCUCCUCUCCUCCUCCUCCUCCUCCACCACCACCAUCACCACCACUCUUGAGAGUAUGGUUGAGUGUCUUUUUCUUCCUGUCUCCUCUUCUUCCUCUCCUUCUCCUCUUCCUCCUCUCCUCCUCCUCCUCCUCCUCCUCCUCCCCAACUCUUGAGACUACGAUUGAGUGUCUUCUUCCUGCCUUCCUCCUCUUCUCCUUCCCCUCCUCCUCCUCCUCUUCCUCCUCCUCCACCAUCACCACCACUCUUGAGACUAAGGUCGAGUGUCUUCUUCCUGCCUUCCUCCUGCUCCUCCUCCACCAUCACCACCACCACUCUUGAGACUAAGGUUGUCUUUUUCUUCCUGUCCCCUCUUCUUCCUCUCCUCCUCCUCCUCCUCCUCCUCCUCCUCCUCCUGCAGGCACUGGGAAGAGGGCGUGGGGGGGGGGAGAAAGGAGGGCCUCUUCCCUGACUUUGGAAGGUGGCUUUGCAAAGAGAUUGCAGAUAACCCGGCUGGGCUGCUCCUCCUCCUCCUGCUACUACUACCGCAGUGGCGUCUUUUCCUGGGGGUGAUUGAUGGGGAGGGUGGAGCCCAGCUGGGUGGGGAUGUCUGCUGGAGGAAAAGGCACCGGCUGCUGGAUUAGCCUCGGGGCACAGAAGCUGGCCAGGCUGCGCGCCUCUCCUGCCACUCCUAAGCGGUGCAAGACCAGACAUGUCAUUCCGGUUCUUUACGUGCAACGCAAGACCAUCCGGCACAGAUGGAUGCUCGCCCUGAAGGAGCCCAACGAUGGAGGCCGUGCAGGUCUUCUCCACGGGAGACUUGUCUGGGGCCAGCCCUUCGCGGAGAGUCCUCGGGGGGGUCUCUCCCUCUUGCGGUCUUUGGCAAUGGUAGAACUCACACUGGUGAGCUAUCUGGUUCCGGUGGUUCUAGACUUGCCAACUACCGCCUGGGGGGGGUCAAGCUGAGUCACUGGUAUCUCUCUUUCCCUCUGGACCACUGAGGGGAGGGGGAGCUGAUGGUCAAGCUUCAAGGAUGACUGAACAGCCAACCAGCAUCUCAUCUCCUGAGUCAGUGGCUGGAGCAGGUACAGCCAGAUGUGGAAAAAAAAAAAACCAUUUCUCUACCUGGUCGAAGUCACAGGGUGAAUUCUACAUUUCCCUUGGUUUUCCGGCUAGGAGCUUGGCUUCCGAAGAAGAAAAUGCUUUCCUAUGCCAAAUAGUAACUUCUGUUCCCUUCCACGAGGACUAGAAACUUGGUUUUCUGGGGUUUUUUUCUUUUUAAAAAAAUUCAACAUCAAAAGUUGCCUUCCUAGGAAUUCUGUGUAAGGGAGCUCUAGAAUUGAGGCUUUUGUUUUGAAAAAGUAGAAAAUAGAACAGAAUAGAAUAUAGGAUAAGAUAGGAUAAGGAAUGGAAUAGAAUAAA
Long non-coding RNA from Crotalus tigris (Tiger rattlesnake), 1507 nucleotides. RefSeq lists it as uncharacterized. The transcript is spliced from 2 exons. NCBI's taxonomy places the organism in Eukaryota, Metazoa, Chordata, Lepidosauria, Squamata, Viperidae. The record is from RefSeq and is a predicted model, not a curated record.